RNAcentral lists this ribosomal RNA (116 nucleotides) under Enterobacter kobei. Lineage: Bacteria; Pseudomonadati; Pseudomonadota; Gammaproteobacteria; Enterobacterales; Enterobacteriaceae. The record is from RNAcentral.
UCUGGCGGCUUUAGCGCGGUGGUCCCACCUGACCCCAUGCCGAACUCAGAAGUGAAACGCCGUAGCGCCGAUGGUAGUGUGGGGUCUCCCCAUGUGAGAGCAGGGAACUGCCAGAC